This 519-nucleotide long non-coding RNA is filed under the name Bemisia tabaci. Its description in RNAcentral is "lncRNA ENSSWEETPG002674". The record is from RNAcentral. Lineage: Eukaryota; Metazoa; Arthropoda; Insecta; Hemiptera; Aleyrodidae.
UGGAAAUUUUGUUCAUACAUUUAAAAUUCACUUUUAAUUAACAUUUGAAUUAAAAAAUUAUCUAAUUUAAAACUCUCUUGUGUUUCUAUGUUAACAGUAAGUCCUAUUCCUGAAUCUUCACCUCAAAGUGAUUCUGUUAGUGCAAUGUGUCAGCAGCUAAGUUUUGGUUUAUCCCUGUUGACAAAUAAAGAUGAUCUCUCUCUGAACAACAACAAUCAGAAAAAUUCUUCGACUGCUUUACUAGAUGACAUUUUCUCUAACCCUCCUGUGAUGGAAACAGUAUCAAAUCCUGCAAUUACGUCCGUGUUACCAGAAGCUCCAAAAAUCGAGCGGCCUUCGACUGACGUAUCGCUAAAUAUGACGCCACAGCAUCCUGUCCCUGUGAAAAGCACAAAUCCAUUCGUAUCUAGCAGCCCAAUGUUGCCUCGACCCCUUCCCAGACAAAACACAAAUCCAUUCAUAACGAGUAGUCCAACAUCCAACAUUAGUUCUAUAAAGGUGUUCGAAGCGCAUCUGUAG